UAGGAAAUAGUGUGAUGGAAGCAUUGAGAGUUUUGAUCUCUUAGGUUGGGCUUCAAACCCUUUUCUUUUA
Molecule: transfer RNA, 70 nt
Filed under: Belonesox belizanus (pike killifish)
Lineage: Eukaryota; Metazoa; Chordata; Actinopteri; Cyprinodontiformes; Poeciliidae
Description: tRNA-Gln
Rfam family: tRNA
About the family: Transfer RNA (tRNA) molecules are approximately 80 nucleotides in length. Their secondary structure includes four short double-helical elements and three loops (D, anti-codon, and T loops). Further hydrogen bonds mediate the characteristic L-shaped molecular structure. tRNAs have two regions of fundamental functional importance: the anti-codon, which is responsible for specific mRNA codon recognition, and the 3' end, to which the tRNAs corresponding amino acid is attached (by aminoacyl-tRNA synthetases). tRNAs cope with the degeneracy of the genetic code in two manners: having more than one tRNA (with a specific anti-codon) for a particular amino acid; and 'wobble' base-pairing, i.e. permitting non-standard base-pairing at the 3rd anti-codon position.
Source: RNAcentral